Molecule: ribosomal RNA, 450 nt
Filed under: uncultured bacterium
Lineage: Bacteria
Description: partial 16S ribosomal RNA
Rfam family: Bacterial small subunit ribosomal RNA
Source: RNAcentral
GUGGGGAAUCUUCCGCAAUGGACGAAAGUCUGACGGAGCAACACCGCGUGAGUGAUGAAGGUCUUCGGAUUGUAAAGCUCUGUUAAUCGGGACGAAAGAGCCUAGUGUGAAUAAUGCUAGGAAGUGACGGUACCGGAAUAGAAAGCCACGGCUAACUACGUGCCAGCAGCCGCGGUAAUACGUAGGUGGCAAGCGUUGUCCGGAAUUAUUGGGCGUAAAGCGCGCGCAGGCGGAUCUGCCAGUCUGUCUUAAAAGUUCGGGGCUUAACCCCGUGAUGGGAUGGAAACUACAGAUCUAGAGUAUCGGAGAGGAAAGUGGAAUUCCUAGUGUAGCGGUGAAAUGCGUAGAUAUUAGGAAGAACACCAGUGGCGAAGGCGACUUUCUGGACGAAAACUGACGCUGAGGCGCGAAAGCCAGGGGAGCGAACGGGAUUAGAUACCCGGGUAGUCC